CCUCCUAAUCCACUGUAUUCUGAACUUCUGCCUCUAGAAGAUCUCCUACUGCCUGAAAAGGGAGUGGCAGUCUGACAGCAAGCCUCGAAGAUUAGCCAACUCCCUCUCUGCAAGUCCACCCACUGAUUCUCAUGAUCCUGAAGCUCAAAGAUGGAAGCCUUAAUGGUCUCAAUCCUCCUAGAGAUGUCACCUACCUCAGCUCCGUUCCACCUUAGUAGCCUCCUCUUCAUUAGCUCCAACUUUUGGAUGACCCUCUACUUGGCAUCACCAU
RNAcentral lists this long non-coding RNA (271 nucleotides) under Elaeis guineensis (African oil palm). Its description in RNAcentral is "long non-coding RNA (EGUI_LNC073933)". Lineage: Eukaryota; Viridiplantae; Streptophyta; Magnoliopsida; Arecales; Arecaceae. The record is from RNAcentral.